RNAcentral lists this ribosomal RNA (373 nucleotides) under uncultured organism. RNAcentral describes it as "partial 16S ribosomal RNA". It matches the Rfam family "Bacterial small subunit ribosomal RNA", at positions 527 to 896 of the family's 1533-position model. The record is from RNAcentral.
GUAGGUGGCAAGCGUUGUCCGGAAUCAUUGGGCGUAAAGCGCGCGCAGGCGGUCCUUUAAGUCUGAUGUGAAAGCCCACGGCUCAACCGUGGAGGGUCAUUGGAAACUGGGGGACUUGAGUACAGAAGAGGAAAGCGGAAUUCCAAGUGUAGCGGUGAAAUGCGUAGAGAUUUGGAGGAACACCAGUGGCGAAGGCGGCUUUCUGGUCUGUAACUGACGCUGAGGCGCGAAAGCGUGGGGAGCAAACAGGGAUUAGAUACCCUGGUAGUCCACGCCGUAAACGAUGAGUGCUAAGUGUUAGGGGGUUUCCCGCCCCUUAGUGCUGCAGCUAACGCAUUAAGCACUCCGCCUGGGGAGUACGGCCGCAGGGCUG